Molecule: ribosomal RNA, 164 nt
Filed under: Pentachaeta aurea
Lineage: Eukaryota; Viridiplantae; Streptophyta; Magnoliopsida; Asterales; Asteraceae
Also listed under: 17 other names
Description: 5.8S ribosomal RNA
Rfam family: 5.8S ribosomal RNA
About the family: 5.8S ribosomal RNA (5.8S rRNA) is a component of the large subunit of the eukaryotic ribosome. It is transcribed by RNA polymerase I as part of the 45S precursor that also contains 18S and 28S rRNA.
Source: RNAcentral
CAAACGACUCUCGGCAACGGAUAUCUCGGCUCACGCAUCGAUGAAGAACGUAGCAAAAUGCGAUACUUGGUGUGAAUUGCAGAAUCCCGUGAACCAUCGAGUUUUUGAACGCAAGUUGCGCCCGAAGCCAUUUGGCCGAGGGCACGUCUGCCUGGGCGUCACGC